GUUUCUAUAGUUGAAUAACAACGAUGAUUUUUCAUG
RNAcentral lists this transfer RNA (36 nucleotides) under Microtus obscurus (Altai voie). RNAcentral's name for it is "partial tRNA-Glu". Lineage: Eukaryota; Metazoa; Chordata; Mammalia; Rodentia; Cricetidae. The record is from RNAcentral.